ACUGGGUGACUCAUAGGAAAAUAAAAGGAUACAGUGCCCAGAAUCCAGCUGUCACCUCUCCUGACAUUUAAACAACUCUCCAGUUCCUCAGACCCCUAAACUCCUCCAAGAACGCAAAAGAUUCAAUUUUUUCAUCACAGUACAUGCAUACAGUGGGCAAAAAGCAAAGCUUGGUAAUCACCUUGGCAUUGCCUAGCUCUGUGAUGCUGAAGACAUUCUCAUUUCUAUGCAUUACAGAAGAGAUUCAGACUUCCAGAGUUUGUAAGCUUUGGAAGAUGCUAGUUGAGCAUUCUGCACUAUGGAGACAUGUACCUGACACCUUACAGGGAAACUCCCAGUCACCAAACUCCCCCGAUUCCCGACAUAUCUGA
This 371-nucleotide long non-coding RNA is filed under the name Canis lupus dingo (dingo). RNAcentral describes it as "lncRNA (ENSCAFG00020022500.1)". Lineage: Eukaryota; Metazoa; Chordata; Mammalia; Carnivora; Canidae. The record is from RNAcentral.